AUGCAAGUCGAACGAGAAACUGGAGCUUGCUCCAGUGGACAGUGGCAGACGGGUGAGUAACGCGUAGCAACCUACCUAGUAGUACGGGAUAGCCCUUGGAAACGAGGUGUAAUACCGUAUACGUCCUCCGGGAGAAAGAUUUAUCGCUAUUGGAUGGGGCUGCGUUGGAUUAGCUAGUUGGUGAGGUAAUGGCUCACCAAGGCAACGAUCUAUAGCGGGUCUGAGAGGAUGAUCCGCCACACUGGGACUGAGACACGGCCCAGACUCCUACGGGAGGCAGCAGUGGGGAAUCUUGGACAAUGGGCGAAAGCCUGAUCCAGCCAUGCCGCGUGAAUGAUGAAGGCCUUAGGGUUGUAAAAUUCUUUCGAUGGUGAAGAUAAUGACGGUAGCCAUUAAAGAAGCCCCGGCUAACUCCGUGCCAGCAGCCGCGGUAAUACGGAGGGGGCUAGCGUUGUUCGGAAUUACUGGGCGUAAAGCGUCCGCAGGCGGAUUGUUAAGUUAGGGGUGAAAUCCCGGGGCUCAACCCCGGAACUGCCCUUAAAACUGGCAAUCUAGAGUUAUGGAGAGGUAAGUGGAAUUCCUAGUGUAGAGGUGAAAUUCGUAGAUAUUAGGAGGAACACCAGAGGCGAAGGCGGCUUACUGGACAUAUACUGACGCUGAGGGACGAAA
This 669-nucleotide ribosomal RNA is filed under the name uncultured bacterium. RNAcentral describes it as "bacterial SSU rRNA". It matches the Rfam family "Bacterial small subunit ribosomal RNA", at positions 55 to 758 of the family's 1533-position model. The record is from RNAcentral.